CCUCCCAGCCCUGCAGGGAUUUGCAUCCACGUGGAAAGCAUGGCUCAGUCAUAGGCAGACAUCAGCACCACGUUGUUCCCUGCUCCUCAUCCACUCCAAGGCAGCAUCAGGCACCAUUCAUCUUUAUAUCCAUGUCUAUUUGCUGAGACCCUGUCAGUGUAGCAUCAGCAGGUUUUAUGACUCAGAACCAGUUUCUUCUCAUUCCUCUUCACAGAAUAAGAAAACUAAAGCUUAGAGGGGUCAUAAAGUUGUGCCCUGAUUCUCGCACUGGAAGGAAGCCCCGAGAACCUGCACCCAUCCCCACCUGGCCUCCUUCACCUACUUGGGAAUGAGCCUGGGAAACACAGGCUGACUCUGGGAUGAUGUUGGAGAGGCUCUACAUCCUGUGGGCACUCACCACUCCACGUUACCCAGUGAGUCAAAGGCUUCUAGAAAGACAUUUAGUCACUCAAAGACACUGCAGAUCCCAGUGUCCAAGGAGGAACUUUCACUCUGGAAAACACGAGCUCAUUUCCCUUGGAGGAAAUCAUUUCUUCAGGACACUGAAUGGCACCAACCAGCACCCAGGAUCCUGAGAGGGUAUUGCAGCUCCCAAAACACCACUGGUGUGAGAAGCUCAAACCUUACAAAUACCAUGUUAUUCUUCCUGUGGAGGACUGCUUCUCCCAGAGAGCCCUAUCAAUACCUCCAAUGCGAUGUGAUCUUUUCACAAAAUGACCUCAACAUUCUUUACUGAAUGAUGACUGUGUGGCCACUCGUAUUUGCUUUUUUAAUUCCUCCCGUCUAUCUUAAAUUUCACGUCUUUUGACCAAUACCUUCUUAAUGACCCCCUCACAAGUCCCAUGAAAACACCAUCCUACUCUUUACUUCUGUGAGUUCAGCUUUUUUAGAUUUUACCUGUAGGUAGAUCAUGCACUAUUUGUCUCUCUGUGUCUGACAUGUUUCACUGAACACAAUGUCCUCCAGGUCCUUCCGUUUCACACAAAUGAUAGGAUUUUCUUCUUUUUUAAGUCUUAAUAGUAUUCCCUGUUGUAUAUAUGUCACCUUUUCUUCAUCCGUUCGUCUGUUCAUAAACACUUAGGUUGACUCCAUAUCCUGGCUAUUGUGAAGAGGGCGCAGUGAACCUGAGUGAAGAUAGCUUUUCCAUGUACUGGUUUUCAUUCCUUUGGAGAUAGCCCCAGUUCUGGGACCUCUGCAUCAUUCAGUAGUUCUAUUUUUUGAGGAACUUCCACACUAUCUUUCCAUUAUGUGUGUACAAAUUUGCAUUCCCUAUAUCUCUAUUAUGACAGGUCAAGCACAGAAUACAAUGGGUUAUAUUUUAGGUCUUAUUGAAACAGUCUCAAGACAUGUAUACCUAAUUUGAUAAGUUUGGGAGCAUAAUCCAAUAAUAUAAGGAACUGUAUCUUUGCUUUUAACAUAUAUGCUUACCCACCAUAAUAACAUAAUUAAUUUCAACAAUUUGGUAACCUGGCUCACGGGAAGAAAGAAAUAAGUGAGGUUACCUGUGCAUCAAAUCCUUGAAUAAAUAUUUUCUUAAAUAACCAAGACCUCUGGAAAGAUUCUGUCUUUGACCCCAUAAUAAAAUGGUAUAAGAUUAGCCCUACUGGCCAGGCGUGGUGGCUCACGACUGUAAUCUCAGCACUUUGGGAGACCGAGGCAGGUGGAUCACGAGGUCAGAAGAGGGAGACCAUCCUGGGCAACAUGGUGAAACCCAUCUCUACUGAAAAUACAAAAAUUAGCUGGGCAUGGUGAAAAUACAAAAAUUAGCUGGGCAUGGUGGCAUGCACCUGUAGUCCCAGCUACUCAGGAGGCGGAGGCAGGAGAAUCACUUGAACCUGGGAGGCGGAGGUUGCAGUGAACUGAGAUCGCACCACCGCACUCCAGCCUGGGUGAUGACAGAGCGAGACUCCGUCUCAAAAAAAAAAAAAAAAAAAA
This 1935-nucleotide long non-coding RNA is filed under the name Macaca fascicularis (crab-eating macaque). Its description in RNAcentral is "lncRNA (ENSMFAG00000063974.1)". Lineage: Eukaryota; Metazoa; Chordata; Mammalia; Primates; Cercopithecidae. The record is from RNAcentral.